RNAcentral lists this ribosomal RNA (428 nucleotides) under uncultured archaeon. RNAcentral describes it as "bacterial SSU rRNA". It matches the Rfam family "Archaeal small subunit ribosomal RNA", at positions 474 to 903 of the family's 1478-position model. The record is from RNAcentral.
UACCAGCUCUCCGAGUUGUAGGGAUGAUUAUUGGGCUUAAAGCGUCCGUAGCCGGCUUGGCAAGUCUCCUGUUAAAUUCAGCGACCUAAUCGUUGAGCCGCGGGAGAUACUACUAGGCUAGGAGGCGGGAGAGGUCGACGGUACUUUCGGGGUAGGGGUGAAAUCCUAUAAUCCCGGGAGGACCACCAGUGGCGAAGGCUGUCGACUAGAACGCGCUCGACGGUGAGGGACGAAAGCUGGGGGAGCGAACCGGAUUAGAUACCCGGGUAGUCCCAGCUGUAAACGAUGCGGGCUAGGUGUUGGGGUGGCUACGGGCCACUUCAGUGCCGCAGGGAAGCCAUUAAGCCCGCCGCCUGGGGAGUACGGCCGCAAGGCUGAAACUUAAAGGAAUUGGCGGGGAGCACCACAAGGCGUGAAGCUUACGGUUC